AGGUGCCCGUACCGCAAACCGACACAGGUAGGUAGGAAGAAGAUUCUAAGGCCAACGGGAGAAGGGUUGUUAAGGAACUCGGCAAAUUGACCCCGUAACUUCGGGAGAAGGGGUGCUCCAGAGAUGGAGCCGCAGAGAAUCGGCCCAAGCAACUGUUUACCAAAAACACAGGUUUGUGCUAAAUCGAAAGAUGACGUAUACGAGCUGACGCCUGCCCGGUGCUGGAAGGUUAAGAGGAGAUGUGCAAGCAUUGAAUCGAAGCCCCAGUGAACGGCGGCCGUAACUAUAACGGUCCUAAGGUAGCGAAAUUCCUUGUCAGGUAAGUUCUGACCCGCAUGAAAGGCGUAAUGAUUUGGGCACUGUCUCAACAGCCCGCCCGGCGAAAUUGUAGUACCGGUGAAGAUGCCGGUUACCCGCGACAAGACGGAAAGACCCCAUGGAGCUUUACUGUAGCCUAAUAUUGGGUUUCGAUGUUGCAUGCACAGGAUAGAUGGGACACUGGGAAACAAUCGCUUUGGCGGUUGCGGAGUGGCCGUUGGGAUACCAUCCUUGCGAUAUUGGAAUUCUAACCUGCGGCUCUGAAUCGAGUCGGGGGACAUUGUUAGGUGGGCAGUUUGACUGGGGCGGUCGCCUCCUAAAAAGUAACGGAGGCGUUCAAAGGUUCGCUCAGCUUGAACGGAAAUCAAGCAAAAGAGUGCAAACGCAGAAGCGAGCCUAACUGCGAGACUGACGGGUCGAGCAGUAACGAAAGUUGGAGUUAGUGAUCCGGUGGUAUGUGAGUGGAAAUGCCAUCGCUCAACGGAUAAAAGUUACCCUGGGGAUAACAGGCUGAUCUCCCCCAAGAGUCCACAUCGACGGGGAGGUUUGGCACCUCGAUGUCGGCUCAUCGCAUCCUGGGGCUGUAUUCGGUCCCAAGGGUUUGGCUGUUCGCCAAUUAAAGCGGUACGCGAGCUGGGUUCAGAACGUCGUGAGACAGUUCGGUCCCUAUCUGUCGUGGGCGCAGGAUAUUUGAUGGGAGCUGUCCCUAGUACGAGAGGACCGGGACGGACGUACCUCUGGCGCACCAGUUGUUCCGCCAGGAGCAUAGCUGGGCAACUACGUACGGAUCGGAUAAACGCUGAAAGCAUCUAAGCGUGAAGCCGACCCAAAGAUAAGAUAUCCCAUUGUUUUAAACAAGUAAGACCCCUUGAAGACUACAAGGUUGAUAGGCACGAUGUGUAAGUGGAGCGAUCCAUUCAGCAAGCGUGUACUAAUAGGUCGAGGGCUUGACCA
RNAcentral lists this ribosomal RNA (1272 nucleotides) under human gut metagenome. Its description in RNAcentral is "bacterial LSU rRNA". It matches the Rfam family "Bacterial large subunit ribosomal RNA", at positions 1636 to 2925 of the family's 2925-position model. The record is from RNAcentral.